AAAGGAAUAGACGGGUGCCCGCACAAGCAGUGGAGUAUGUGGAUUAAUUCGACGCAACGCGAAGAACCUUACCAGGGCUUGACAUCCCGCUAACGAGGCAGAGAUGCGUCAGGUGCCCUUCGGGGAAAGCGGAGACAGGUGGUGCAUGGUUGUCGUCAGCUCGUGUCGUGAGAUGUUGGGUUAAGUCCCGCAACGAGCGCAACCCUUACGGUUAGUUGCUACGCAAGAGCACUCUAGCCGGACUGCCGUUGACAAAACGGAGGAAGGUGGGGACGAGGUCAAAUCAUCAUGCCCCUUAUGUCCUGGGCUUCACACGUACUACAAUGGCGGUCAACAGAGGGUCGCGAAGGCGCGAGCCGGAGCCAAUCCCCAAAAGCCGCCCCAGUUCAGAUUGCAGGCUGCAACUCGCCUGCAUGAAGUCGGAAUUGCUAGUAAUCGCGAAUCAGCAUGUCGCGGUGAAUACGUUCCCGGGCAUUGUACACACCGCCCGU
RNAcentral lists this ribosomal RNA (491 nucleotides) under uncultured bacterium. Its description in RNAcentral is "bacterial SSU rRNA". It matches the Rfam family "Bacterial small subunit ribosomal RNA", at positions 903 to 1397 of the family's 1533-position model. The record is from RNAcentral.